CAGUAGCCACGGGAAAACGUAGGGGGCGAGCGUUGUCCGAAGUUACUGGGCGUAAAGAGCGCGUAGGCUGGUCUUUAAGUGAGUGGUGAAAGGUUCGGGCUCAACCCGGACACUGCCUUUCAUACUGGGGACCUUGAGUGUGGGAGAGGCGAGUGGAAUGGUCGGUGUAGCGGUGAAAUGCGUAGAUAUCGAUCGGAACACCCAUGGCGAAGGCAGCUCGCUGGCCUAACACUGACGCUGAGGAGCGAAAGCGUGGGGAGCGAACAGGAUUAGAGACCCCCGUAGUCCCUGUCUCUUAUAC
RNAcentral lists this ribosomal RNA (301 nucleotides) under uncultured bacterium. RNAcentral describes it as "partial 16S ribosomal RNA". It matches the Rfam family "Bacterial small subunit ribosomal RNA", at positions 509 to 807 of the family's 1533-position model. The record is from RNAcentral.